Molecule: ribosomal RNA, 322 nt
Filed under: uncultured eukaryote
Lineage: Eukaryota
Description: partial 18S ribosomal RNA
Rfam family: Eukaryotic small subunit ribosomal RNA
Source: RNAcentral
CCCUUAGAUGUUCUGGGCCGCACGCGCGCUACACUGAUGCAUUCAACAAGCCUAGCCUUGACCGAGAGGUCCGGGUAAUCUUUGAAACUGCAUCGUGAUGGGGCUAGAUUAUUGCAAUUAUUAAUCUUCAACGAGGAAUGCCUAGUAAGCGUGAUUCAUCAAAUCGCGUUGAUUACGUCCCUGCCCUUUGUACACACCGCCCGUCGCUCCUACCGAUCGAAGAGUUAGGUGAAUUGUUUUGAUCGAUAAGAUUUGACUAUGGUCAACUCUCGUUGUGAAAUUCUGUGAAGCUGACUGUUUAGAGGAAGGAAAAGUCGUAACA